AAUCUUGCGCAAUGGGCGAAAGCCUGACGCAGCCAUCCCGCGUGUGCGAUGAAGGCCUNAGGGUUNUNAAGCACUUUUGGCAGGGNAGAAAAGCCACCGGUUAAUACCUGGUGGUGCUGACGGUACCUGCAGAAUAAGCACCGGCUAACUACGUGCCAGCAGCCGCGGUAAUACGUAGGGUGCAAGCGUUAAUCGGAAUUACUGGGCGUAAAGCGUGCGCAGGCGGUUCGGCAAGAAGGAUGUGAAAUCCCGGGGCUUAACCUCGGAACUGCAUUCUUAACUGCCGGGCUAGAGUAUGUCAGAGGGGGGUAGAAUUCCACGUGUAGCAGUGAAAUGCGUAGAGAUGUGGAGGAAUACCGAUGGCGAAGGCAGCCCCCUGGGAUGAUACUGACGCUCAUGCACGAAAGCGUGGGGAGCAAACA
RNAcentral lists this ribosomal RNA (422 nucleotides) under uncultured bacterium. RNAcentral describes it as "partial 16S ribosomal RNA". It matches the Rfam family "Bacterial small subunit ribosomal RNA", at positions 360 to 774 of the family's 1533-position model. The record is from RNAcentral.